This 253-nucleotide ribosomal RNA is filed under the name uncultured bacterium. RNAcentral's name for it is "partial 16S ribosomal RNA". It matches the Rfam family "Bacterial small subunit ribosomal RNA", at positions 524 to 776 of the family's 1533-position model. The record is from RNAcentral.
UACGUAGGGGGCAAGCGUUGUCCGGAUUUAUUGGGCGUAAAGAGCGUGUAGGCGGUUUGGUAGGUCCGCUGUGAAAACUCGAGGCUCAACCUCGAGACGCCGGUGGAAACCAUCAGACUAGAGUCCGGAAGAGGAGAGUGGAGUUCCUGGUGUAGCGGUGAAAUGCGCAGAUAUCAGGAAGAACACCCGUGGCUAAGGCGGCUCUCUAGUACGGUACUGACGCUGAGACGCGAAAGCGUGGGGAGCGAACAGG